CUAGCGUAGAAUUAAUUUUUCAAGAUAGAUUAUUGAUAGAGUUCAUGCACUUCGCACUAAUUUGUAUAGGCCAGGCUUUAAAUUACGUAUCAGGUUCGUCAGAAUUAAUUCUAUUCCGCUUCUGCAUUUCCCGCAGAUUUGGUAUCGGACGAUUCCAUGAGUUAAAAUCACUGGGUCGGGUCGAAUUAAUUAAUGGACAUUUAUCCGAUAAUUUAUCGGCUUCAAAAAUUUGGCUGUUUCUGUUCGGUAUUUCCUUGCGAUCCAUGUGUUUUGAUACUCUGUCAUCGUUUGUUUUGUACAAUUCUCCUUCUAUGAAAAGUUUAUCUCUUAUCAAAACAGCUUUUUUUCGGUCUUUCUUUGCCUGCUUUAAAACAGGAUAUAGGCUUUUCCUCUUCUUUUCAAUUUUUACAGGAAAUUGUGCGCGGACAGAAAUAUUUGUCCCCUUUAAUUUGUGACAGUUCCUCAUGACUAACUGUUUAUCUUUCAAAGAUACAAACUUAGUCAUUAUAUUUUGUCUUUGCUUUCCGAAACGAUGUACAGAAACGAAAUUCAUAUUUUCAACGAUUCCGAGUUUUUUGCGGAUAAAAUCCCUUACAAUGUUCUCUGUAUCCUCAUUUGGCUCGUGCUUUAAUCCGGAUAUAAUGAUAUUGUUAGUCAUUGAUCUCCAUUGUAACUCUUCGACAUCGCUCUCCAUAUUUGACAAUCGGUCAUUGACGCAUUUUAUAUCGAAUGUGUUUUCUUUGUUAUCUUUUGCUUCUUCUAGCAAUGAUAUUUUCGACACAUUUUCUUUGCAGCGAUCUAUAAUUUUAUGCACAACCGUACUCAUUUGUUCUCCUUUUUCUUCGAUCAUUUUAUUUCGGUUAAACACAAUUUUGCACUUCUGUUCUACGUGUUCAAUUCUUGUUAUCAUUGCGUCUAAUUUCCCCUCAAAUUGCGAUAUCCUUGAAACUUCCCGCUCAAGCUUUCCACAUUUUGUCUGGAGAUCUGCCACGACAGCAAGUACAGAGUUUAAUAUAGAGAUAGUUUUGGUAUCAAGUUCUUUGUAUUCCGACAUUAUUAUUCAAAAUAUAUUUGAUAAAGUUAUUGUUGUUGCAAUUGAACGCCGAGAGAACAAUGGAGAACAAUCAAUCGCCGCUAACAACCCGACGACGUUAGCAACAUUAGCAAAUCUCUUGUAGUAAACGAAAUAUUCAGAAUAUUUUUCAUUAUUGUCGUGAAAUCUGUGAAGUUGUUGAAAAAUUAAUUUUACCGUUCGAAUAAAAUCCUUAAAAUCUGUGACUCCAGUCCAUUUGUUAAGUUUAUAUGCUGACCUAGAUCUUGCUAGUUAGAGUUUUUGCAGGAGCAAAAAAAGCAUGACUGUCCUUGCCAGUACUUCCGCC
This 1379-nucleotide long non-coding RNA is filed under the name Mytilus galloprovincialis (Mediterranean mussel). The record is from RNAcentral. Lineage: Eukaryota; Metazoa; Mollusca; Bivalvia; Mytilida; Mytilidae.